GGAUGCCAAACCGAAUCUCGGAUCGGGAUAUAUAACUGGUUAUUCUACCAAACUCUGGGGCCCAGCAUGCGUUGGAGGAUGGUCCACCUGGAAACAUUAUUGAAGGUAUGGUCUUUGAUGUCCAGGCUAUUGAGUAGAGCACGGGAUUAGCGGAAUAUGAGAUACGAGUUUAUGGUGUGAAGCCUUGCUUUAUCAAAUUUACCGAUGGAAAGGAACCCAGAACUGCAUAUGGAAAUGUGUUCAUGUUUGCUGGAGAUGAGAGAGUUUAAUGAGGGCGAGUUUGAUCUUAAGUUUUGGUUGCAGCGGAUGGGGAGAGGGUAGAAGGCCCUGA
RNAcentral lists this small RNA (331 nucleotides) under Histoplasma capsulatum. RNAcentral's name for it is "hypothetical RNA". The record is from RNAcentral. Lineage: Eukaryota; Fungi; Ascomycota; Eurotiomycetes; Onygenales; Ajellomycetaceae. RNAcentral also lists the same sequence under 1 other name.